RNAcentral lists this ribosomal RNA (312 nucleotides) under uncultured Acidobacteriota bacterium. RNAcentral describes it as "bacterial SSU rRNA". It matches the Rfam family "Bacterial small subunit ribosomal RNA", at positions 14 to 313 of the family's 1533-position model. The record is from RNAcentral. Lineage: Bacteria; Pseudomonadati; Acidobacteriota.
UGAUCCUGGCUCAGAAUCAACGCUGGCGGCGUGCCUAACACAUGCAAGUCGAACGCGAAAGUCCCGCAAGGGGUUAGUAGAGUGGCAAACGGGUGAGUAACACGUGGGUGACCUGCCUUCGAGUGGGGGAUAACGUUCCGAAAGGGACGCUAAUACCGCAUGACAUCCUGCCUUUGAAGAGGUGGAGAUCAAAGCUGGGGAUCGCAAGACCUGGCGCUUGAAGAGGGGCCCGCGUCUGAUUAGCUAGUUGGUGGGGUAACGGCUCACCAAGGCAACGAUCAGUAUCCGGCCUGAGAGGGCGGACGGACACAC